This 74-nucleotide transfer RNA is filed under the name Spirochaetales bacterium. RNAcentral's name for it is "tRNA-Arg". It matches the Rfam family "tRNA". Rfam says of the family: Transfer RNA (tRNA) molecules are approximately 80 nucleotides in length. Their secondary structure includes four short double-helical elements and three loops (D, anti-codon, and T loops). Lineage: Bacteria; Pseudomonadati; Spirochaetota; Spirochaetia; Spirochaetales. The record is from RNAcentral.
GUGCCCAUAGCUCAGCUGGAUAGAGUACCAGAUUGCGGAUCUGGUGGUCGGAGGUUCGAAUCCUCUUGGGCACG